GACGAACGCUGGCGGCGUGCUUAACACAUGCAAGUCGAACGGAAAGGCCUGCUUUCCCUUGUGGAUUGCGGGUGCUCGAGUGGCGAACGGGUGAGUAACACGUGAGUGAUCUGCCCCCAACUUGGGUAUAAGCCUGGGAAACUGGGUCUAAUUCCCGAUAGGACUGCAGGGUGGUGCCUGUGGUGGAAAACGAUUUUCUAGUGGUUGGGGAUGAGCUCGCGGCCUAUCAGCUUGUUGGUGGGUAAUGGCCUACCAAGGCGGCGACGGGUAGCCGGCCUGAGAGGGUGGACGGCCACAUUGGGACUGAGCUACGGCCCAGACUCCUACGGGAGGCAGCAGUGGGGAAUAUUGCACAAUGGGCGGAAGCCUGAUGCAGCGACGCCGCGUGGGGGAUGACGGCCUUCGGGUUGUAAACUCCUUUCGACCGCGAGGAAGCCACCUGGUUGGAAGGGUGGUGACGGUAGUGGUAGAAGAAGCACCGGCUAACUACGUG
Molecule: ribosomal RNA, 493 nt
Filed under: uncultured bacterium
Lineage: Bacteria
Description: partial 16S ribosomal RNA
Rfam family: Bacterial small subunit ribosomal RNA
Source: RNAcentral